This is a long non-coding RNA of Styela clava, 1108 nucleotides long. RefSeq lists it as uncharacterized. The record is from RefSeq and is a predicted model, not a curated record. Lineage: Eukaryota; Metazoa; Chordata; Ascidiacea; Stolidobranchia; Styelidae.
GUAUAAAUAUAUUCAUGUAAUUUAAUAUAUGGUAAUUGUCAGACUUCUUCCUGCAGAUAUGGAUAUAAAAUAUCAAAAUAUGAAUCUUUCGGACGUAGCUGAAAUCUGAAUAUGAUAUUACAGAAUACGUGGAAAUGAGAUUUUUGGUUUCUCAUCAGCAAUCCAACAGACGCAACUGAAUGGAAUAACAUGAAAGACUAACCCGAUCUUCCCAUCCUUGAAAGAAUUUGCUUUGUAUGCUGCUGAUUUGAGAAGAAAUAAUUAUGAACCAAGGUUUAUCAAGAUUCUACUGAAACAAGCAUGGUCGUUGAUAAGUGAUAAUGAAAUAAAAAGCUGGUCAUCUCAUACUGGAAUGCCUAUUCUACACCCAUCUUAACCUACCAGAAUUUGCUCGUGUAAAAGACAUUGUUAAAUAUAAAAAAUCAAAUGAAAGUUUCACUUCAGCCUAAUAUCAUUAUUUUUGAAAAUUUGCAAUAAUGUAUAUUUGCAAUAUUUGUGUUACUAGAUAACUUAAUUUUGGUUUUUUAAGUAUUAUUCUGAUACGAAUUUAUAAUACAAUUACUGCUUAAAAAAAAUUAGAUUCUGUAUCUUCUUGUCUUUUAAAUGAUUUUACAACUGAACGGACACAAAACCACAGGGAAACACUCUGUUUCUGUGUACUUUGCUUCAGUUUCAUGUUGCUAUAUAUUUUUAAUGAUUAACGUUUCCACAGACUGCUGUGUUUUUCUGUUGGAUUUUGAAGAUAAUUGUUUUUGAUUACAUACACCGUUACACGUAGUAGGUAAAAUAUACACAUUAUGAUGGGACAAUGCAUGAUCUGCACCUUAACAGCUUUCAACUCCUGGUUCUAAUUUUUUUUUAAAUCAUGGAUUGAGAUGCAGUUACUAGAAAUGGUGGCAAUUUAAAGAUUUAGGAUUUUUUUUGUCAGUUUCAAGCAGAAUCUUUUCACACACAAAUGUAUUUCUUAGCCAUUCACACUGGAUUACGGAGUUCUUAUUUUGAGAGACCAGGUUGCAACUAUCUAAAUGAAUGAAUUGCUAUUGGUAGAAUUAAUGGGCCAAUUUACCAUAAAAUAAAUCUCUUUUCAUAUUUUAAUUGAUGGAUGACG